UGUAUCUCAGUGGUAGAGGGUUUGCCUAGCAUACAUAAUGCCCUGGGUUCGAUUUCCAGCA
RNAcentral lists this transfer RNA (61 nucleotides) under Heterocephalus glaber (naked mole-rat). Lineage: Eukaryota; Metazoa; Chordata; Mammalia; Rodentia; Bathyergidae. The record is from Rfam by way of RNAcentral.